RNAcentral lists this ribosomal RNA (497 nucleotides) under uncultured bacterium. RNAcentral's name for it is "partial 16S ribosomal RNA". It matches the Rfam family "Bacterial small subunit ribosomal RNA", at positions 28 to 507 of the family's 1533-position model. The record is from RNAcentral.
GAUGAACGCUGGCGGCGUGCCUAAUACAUGCAAGUCGAGCGAACAGACAAGGAGCUUGCUCCGCUGACGUUAGCGGCGGACGGGUGAGUAACACGUGGAUAACCUACCUAUAAGACUGGGAUAACUUCGGGAAACCGGAGCUAAUACCGGAUAAUAUAUUGAACCGCAUGGUUCAAUAGUGAAAGACGGUUUUGCUGUCACUUAUAGAUGGAUCCGCGCCGCAUUAGCUAGUUGGUAAGGUAACGGCUUACCAAGGCAACGAUGCGUAGCCGACCUGAGAGGGUGAUCGGCCACACUGGAACUGAGACACGGUCCAGACUCCUACGGGAGGCAGCAGUAGGGAAUCUUCCGCAAAGGGCGAAAGCCUGACGGAGCAACGCCGCGUGAGUGAUGAAGGUCUUCGGAUCGUAAAACUCUGUUAUUAGGGAAGAACAAAUGUGUAAGUAACUAUGCACGUCUUGACGGUACCUAAUCAGAAAGCCACGGCUAACUACGUG